AAAAAUUACUCAUAAUUUCCCCCAAAGAUUACCAAGAUCUCGAGUGCACAAUGUCAUCAGCGUAAUGAGGAGUAAACAUUUAUGCUAAUAAUCUACAUUUUUUCCCCCAUCAGCUAUAAAGAGAGGGAAAUAAAGCAGACAUUUUCAGUCAUAUUCUGAACUCUGCUGCAAUAAGCUUAGACCAACACAUGGGACACAUUUUGUGGGAUUUAAGCGCUCAUCUUUUGUGUGUCUGUGCUGCAGGAUGCUGCUGCUGCUGCUGCUGCUUCAUCUGCCUCCAUGCUGAUGUCUGGAGAUCCUAUGAGGGAGCUCGCCUCUUCCUUUUCAAGCCGAUAGGCACUGAUGACUCUGUGAGGAAACUGUAUCACAUCAGUUUGGGAAGUACUGACCAAACGCUCCUGGGACUCCAAACUGGACUUGUUGCUCUAUAGACGACAGACAAUAAUAUAAAUAAAAGGCCAGUUAAUGUGGCAUUUAAUUCAA
This is a long non-coding RNA of Dicentrarchus labrax (European seabass), 483 nucleotides long. RefSeq lists it as uncharacterized. The transcript has 2 exons. NCBI's taxonomy places the organism in Eukaryota, Metazoa, Chordata, Actinopteri, Moronidae. The record is from RefSeq and is a predicted model, not a curated record.